GUCUGAGGGCUAAGGGAUGGAGAAAGAAGCUUUCCAGAGCACAGCUGUCCCCUUAUCUUGUGAUCCCAAACUCUUCUCCCCUCCCCACAGCUGAAUUUAAUUCAGACAUUUAAAAUUGAUAUUGUGAGGUCUUUCCCAACCUUAUCAGCCUUUGGCCUUAGCAGACAAACAGAAUCAAUGUUCCUGCCAUCUCUCUGGUGUAGCAUUUCCAGUCUUGGAUGCAUUACCAUCAGGUAAAAAAAAUACUGUAUGCUUUCUUCUGUAAUGCACUCACAGAGGAACCUGCACCAGCAAUACUCCUGUAAGGCAUCUACAUCAAGCUCUAAAGUUCAGCAGAAUGAAUCGCAGCAUGUACCUCAGACCACUGUGAGGACAAGCAGAACUGGAACUGAAAGACAUAGCAUCUCCCAUGCUGGCCAGAGUGACCAGAAAUCAUCCAGGCAUGCCAGUACAGAAAUAGCUCCUUGUUAAUCAAGCACGUGCAUUUUGUGAAAGCUUCUGGGCCUAAAACAGGCCAGAAAGCAUCACUGUGUGUUGCUGCUGAAUACCCUGACUACUUCCAAGGCAGGAAGAACCACAUGGAAGAGUUACUGGCCAGAACAAGAGCUGCCUGCCAGUCAGCAUCUAAUUAUGCCUAAUGGAGGCCAACAACGCUGUCUCUAAUUACGUUUACCUAGGAGGUACCACAUGUCCCUUUUUGUCUUGGAUGCAGGAAGGCAACAGGUGAAACAGUUGUUUUCCUUCUCUGUUGCAAGGAUCUUCUGUGGCUGUGCUUCCAAAAGGCUGUUGGGAAAGGGCCCAGGGGAAGAAGAAGGCUGGGGAGGGCUGGGCACCCAGGGCUAGAUUUACCACAGGAGCUGUCUGAGAGUUGUUGGGAUCGCGAGCUGCAGGACUCCACACACAGCAGAAAUUAUAUCAUUAGUUUUCAAGCUGAGCAGAAAGCUUCAAGCUGACAAGCUCUCUGCUGUGUAAGUGUUGUCUAAGAAACUGUCCUUUCUUUGACCAAUUAAAGCACCUUUGCUGGUAGGAGCGUGUGGGUAGCUGUGCUGAGCUCAGCAGUGCCUCCUUUCCAACUCCCAAAGAACUUUUUCUGAGUAGUCAAAGCAAGGCCAGUGCCACAACUAUUCUCCCACAAAAAUGCUCUGUUCCUGAACAGCCACUUUUAGCAGGAUUUCUGCAGCCACUGUCUAAGAGGAUACAGAACCAGAUAAGUAAUUAGCAAGUACACCAUCAGCAAUUGCCUUUUUUUGAUAAAACAGCCCUGGGCCAUGAGGAUUCUGAAUUCUUAUGUUCUGGAGGACGUCAGCCCAAACUUAUUCAAGGAAAUAAAGUGAUAGCUAUUAAGAGUACUCAAUAGUUUGCUGUUUAUAGCAAAGGAGCAGAGCAUGAGCAAGGAACUAUUUCCCUUACCGAGUGCAAGAAGCAAAUGCCUAGAAAGUGAAAUAGUUGGGGUUCAGUCCCUGCUCCAGGAGCUUUAAAAGAGCUCUGAGGAGGGGGAGGAAAAAAAAAAAAAAAAGAGCAGCUUGAACUGGAGAGAUAUAGUCCAGAUCAGCCUGUAGCUCAGGCACUGGAUCAGUUCCCUUCUUAAAGACAGGCAGAUCUGAAUUCAGAUUUCAUUCCUUUCGUGACCUAAUGCCAUUAUGGGAACUGAUACAUGUAUAAGGAACAGCACUAUCACUUACCCCACCUUGUGACUCAGAACCUUUGAUUUUAUCAAGCCUCUUCAGAAACAAAUCAGGACAAGGCUAUAAUCUACUUUCAUGUUUUGUUUCAACAAAAAUCUGUCCAUGCUGGACAAACCUUUGCAUGCAGUCUGGUUCUUUCACCUUACAGAGGGUAGAAGUUGAAAAACAGAGAUGAAGGCAGCAAGGAUGGACCAAGGCAGGGAACAGUUUCUGUAAGGGAAUAAUGAACAGAUGAGAACUCUUCAACCUAGAAAAAGGCAAAUGAGGAAGGCUACAAACAAUGAAUGGUGUUGAAAAGGUGACGAGGUAAUGAUUAUUCACUGCAUCGCUCCACACAAAAACUACAGGGCACCCACUAAAAUUAUCGGGUGCCAAAUUAAUAGGAGAGAGCAGGUAUUUCUUUGCAUAAUGCAUAAUUAUAUUGUCACAGGCUGCUGUGCAGACCAAAAGUGUAGAUAAACUCAAAGAGUCAUUACAGAAAUUCAGGGAGGGCUAGUCCACUAGUUAAAAAAUAUAAAAUAAAAGAAAAAGAAAAAAGAAAAUGCAGUCUCAAUGCAACCUCUGGCUCAGGAAAGCAGCGAUGGAUAGAUCACUGUUGACAUACUCUCCCUUGUGCUUUCUCUGAGCAUUACUGCUGAAGUGCCAUUGUCACUGCGAUAGACAAGCUACUGGGCUAACCUCUGUACAGCAAUGUUAAGGUUCUUAGCCUGAUGCUAAUUGUCUUUUAUUUUUUGGCUGAGAAAAUAGGGUAUUCACACAACUCACAACACAGGUGUAGGAUAGAAAGACACACAGGAUGCAGGCACCAUGCCCACUCUCCCAUGUCACUGUUGGAUAAACACUUUAAUUCAGAUAUUUUGAAUAUACAUGCCCUACAACUAUACCUAUACAUGCAAAAGCACUACAUUAUAGUCUAUAAAGCUACCAUGAUACAAUAUUUAUAUUUGAAAAAUGAAUAUACUAAGGCAUUUGCCUUAUCUCAAACAGAGCAAUAAUACUUCACACUUUCUCCUGCUAGGCUAUAUUUAGCUUUCCGUCAUUGUGCUGCUUUUUCUGUGCCAUUUUCUAUAACUUUAUAUUGCCCCCAAUAUGUCCUUGUUUGAGAAUUCCGCCUCACAGAGAGGCACAGCAGCUGUUUCUGACACAUUAAGGAGCAAACUAAAAAGUUUGUUUAUUCAAGGAUAAACACUGCAGUUCCUUUGCAUAACAUCCUGGUCUAUCUUUGCAUGAAAUUUGAUCAGCUGCCUGGUAUUGCCCAAUACCAUACAACCCAGUAAGGGCUUCCACCAGAAAGCUAAUGUUUAAAACCACCUAAAGGAACAUCUCAAACUUGUUUGACAUCUCUACUACUGGAGAAGUCAUAAGCUGGGGUAGGUAAUGUGGAGAACUGGCCUAGUUCUUGUAGGAAUUCUUUUUCCUCUUCAUGAAGGAUCACUUCUUAGCUAAUCCUCAAAAGGGCUCAAUUUUACCCUCCUGGACAUUAUAGCUUCUCAGGCUGUCUACUACUGGAUCUGUUGCUGAAUAUCAGUGCCCUGGUGUAGCAACCCCUGCUCCUCCAAGCACUUGGUGAUUCAGAGGCAGUAUUGACAUUUUUGCAGAAGACCCACUACAGUGACCUAUGCCAAAAGAAACCCCUUACUCUUGUAAGAAAGUUUGAUAUCUGGUGGCACAAGUUAUGAGGAAAUAAAGUGCAUUUCAGUUAACUUUGGGGC
Molecule: long non-coding RNA, 3397 nt
Organism: Cygnus olor (mute swan)
Lineage: Eukaryota; Metazoa; Chordata; Aves; Anseriformes; Anatidae
Exons: 3
Source: RefSeq, a predicted model, not a curated record